AGCCCCACCAUUGUGUCAGUGUAGGGUGUCAAUAGUUGCUUCAGAUUGUUGCUGGAAAAUCUGCCCCUUGUACUAUUAUGUGGGCCUACCCCCGAUCUCAAGCUGUGGACCUAAAAAUAUCAGAAAAUUGCAUGUUACUGACCUGGAAGUUUGGGAGGGGCCUCAAAGCCCGUCUAGUGAGUUCCCCUACCAAUGCACAAAAUCCUUUACAACAGCACUAAAAGAUCAAUUAUGUGAGUGACGAUUUUGUUCUUUUGUUAUAGUAUCAACAUUCUUUAUUGUGCUUUCAGGUAAACAGGCUGGUGUGUCCUCUCGUGUUGCUUCUGUUUGGCCUGACCUCUUUAGCCAGUCUAGGAUCUACUGGCUGCCCAUACAUGCUCAAGACUCCAUUUGAAGCAGAAGAAAACGUAUGUGCUCAACUAAAGAUGAUAUCCUCUUCACAUGGGCUCUUUCCUAAGUAGAUGAUUUCGGGCUAAAUUUAGCAUGCGCAGGAUGAACAGAGGCAGUGGUAUUCGGAUGAAUAUGGAAAUACAGACACUUAGUGUGACAGCCCCCGAUGGUUGCAGUAGGACCCUCAUAUCUGUGGGGGAUUGGUUCCAAGGCCCCCUAUGGAUCCUGAAAACUGCAGACAGUAGCUGCCCAUUCUGGCUGUGCUUUCUUGCAAGGUGCUGUGGCCUGGAGGUAGUCCAAGGCAGCAGUGGAGGAGGGAUCCCAACUUCUCGACUGUGACUGAAGGUCCCAGUGCAUGGACCAGAAGCAGAAGUGGGGCAGGACAAUGAGCUGCCUGCAAGGGAAGGUAAUCUCCCAUGAGGGAAGGGAGCCAGAAGGGAAGGGAAGGGAGGCAUA
This 846-nucleotide long non-coding RNA is filed under the name Pogona vitticeps (central bearded dragon). Its description in RNAcentral is "lncRNA (ENSPVIG00000001282.1)". The record is from RNAcentral. Lineage: Eukaryota; Metazoa; Chordata; Lepidosauria; Squamata; Agamidae.